AUGGCCUCUAUCAUUACAAACACUACUAUUAUACAUGAUGACUGCCCAGAUAUUCUUUGUUGGGAUCUCACUCCAAAUGGUAAAUGUAAUUCCAAAUCUACUUACAAGUUGUGUUUGCAGGAUAUUCAGAGACAACCAAGGGAUCUUCCUAUGCAGGUUAAAGAUAUCCUUAAGCAGGUUUGGAAGAACAAGCAGAUGACCCCACGAGUCCAAACUUUUGCUUGGAGAUUGCUUCGAAAAUCUCUACCCACAGGUUUGAGAGCUAGUUAUUUUUUUCUAUUCACAUUUCAAAACGAUGUUGACAUUGUCAUCGAGAUGAAAGUGAGAUGCAUCUAUGUUUUCUUUGUGACUUUGCUAGGGCAGCUUGGUUUGGCCAUCCUUGGUAUAUUAAAAUGGAUAUAUAUAUAUAUAUAUAUAUAUAUAUAUAUAUAUAUAUAUAUUAGUCUAGAAUCAUAUUUCCAUGCAAAGUAUUAUUCAUGCAUUGCUUAA
This 489-nucleotide ribosomal RNA is filed under the name Triticum aestivum (bread wheat). RNAcentral describes it as "partial small subunit ribosomal RNA". Lineage: Eukaryota; Viridiplantae; Streptophyta; Magnoliopsida; Poales; Poaceae. The record is from RNAcentral.